AGGCUGAGCAGGCGGCCGUACUGGGAUCUGCCCAUUUUGACGGGGGCGGGCACGAUUCCGGCUCCAACUGCAGUUGGUAAGUUCGCCUUUGCAUUCCUGGCUAACCACUUGCUGCUCUGUGCAAAUCCACGUCGCAUGCACCACCACGGCAUGCGGAGUGUUGGGUGCAGGUGGCUAUGGUAACGGUUCGGCGGUGGAAGGCUGUGUUGAAGCGACCGGGCGGUUCGAUGGUGGAGGCACCUGCCCAAAUGGUGAUUAUAUGAUGUGGACAACCUUAUUUGGCUGCUUUUCCUGACCCGGAGAGUCGUGCAGAGGUGUGUGAGCCUCGUACAGUUUAACAGCAUUGUGAUUCUUGUCUCAUUCAGAAAUGUACAAAAAAAAACAGUGGAUUUUUUAAAAUGAUUCGAAUUAUAAAAUAAACAACACGAAUCUGUAA
This is a non-coding RNA of Drosophila melanogaster (fruit fly), 436 nucleotides long. The record is from Ensembl. Lineage: Eukaryota; Metazoa; Arthropoda; Insecta; Diptera; Drosophilidae.